RNAcentral lists this ribosomal RNA (496 nucleotides) under uncultured bacterium. RNAcentral describes it as "partial 16S ribosomal RNA". It matches the Rfam family "Bacterial small subunit ribosomal RNA", at positions 28 to 506 of the family's 1533-position model. The record is from RNAcentral.
GAUGAACGCUGGCGGCGUGCCUAAUACAUGCAAGUCGAGCGAACAGACGAGGAGCUUGCUCCUCUGACGUUAGCGGCGGACGGGUGAGUAACACGUGGAUAACCUACCUAUAAGACUGGGAUAACUUCGGGAAACCGGAGCUAAUACCGGAUAAUAUAUUGAACCGCAUGGUUCAAUAGUGAAAGACGGUUUUGCUGUCACUUAUAGAUGGAUCCGCGCCGCAUUAGCUAGUUGGUAAGGUAACGGCUUACCAAGGCAACGAUGCGUAGCCGACCUGAGAGGGGGAUCGGCCACCCUGGAACUGAGACACGGUCCAGACUCCUACGGGAGGCAGCAGUAGGGAAUCUGCCGCAAUGGGCGAAAGCUUGACGGAGCAACGCCGCGUGAGUGAUGAAGGUCUUCGGAUCAUAAAACUCUGUUAUUAGGGAAGAACAAAUGUGUAAGUAACUAUGCACGUCUUGACGGUACCUAAUCAGAAAGCCACGGCUAACUACGU